CAGCAGCCACGGGAAUACGUAGGUGGCGAGCGUUGUCCGGAAUCAUUGGGCGUAAAGGGAGCGCAGGCGGGCAAGUAAGUCUUUCUUAAAAGUGCGGGGCUCAACCCCGUGAUGGGAAAGAAACUACAUGUCUUGAGUACAGGAGAGGAAAGCGGAAUUCCCAGUGUAGCGGUGAAAUGCGUAGAUAUUGGGAGGAACACCAGUGGCGAAGGCGGCUUUCUGGACUGCAACUGACGCUGAGGCUCGAAAGCCAGGGGAGCGAACGGGAUUAGAUACCCGUGUAGUCCCUGUCUCUUAUACA
Molecule: ribosomal RNA, 301 nt
Filed under: uncultured bacterium
Lineage: Bacteria
Description: partial 16S ribosomal RNA
Rfam family: Bacterial small subunit ribosomal RNA
Source: RNAcentral